CAUGCAUGUCUCAGUACGAGCCGUAUUAAGGUGAAACCGCGAAAGGCUCAUUAAAUCAGUUAUGGUUCCUUAGAUCGUACCCACAUUUACUUGGAUAACUGUGGUAAUUCUAGAGCUAAUACAUGCAAACAGAGCUCCGACCGGAGACGGAAGGAGCGCUUUUAUUAGAUCAAAACCAAUCGGUGUCGGGUUUACUCGUCAUCGUACACCUUGGUGACUCUGAAUAACUUUAUGCUGAUCGCACGGUCUCGCACCGGCGACGCAUCUUUCAAAUGUCUGCCUUAUCAACUGUCGAUGGUAGGCUCUGCGCCUACCAUGGUUGUAACGGGUAACGGGGAAUCAGGGUUCGAUUCCGGAGAGGGAGCCUGAGAAACGGCUACCACAUCCAAGGAAGGCAGCAGGCGCGCAAAUUACCCACUCCCGGCACGGGGAGGUAGUGACGAAAAAUAACGAUACGGGACUCAUCCGAGGCCCCGUAAUCGGAAUGAGUACACUCUAAACCCUUUAACGAGGAUCAAUUGGAGGGCAAGUCUGGUGCCAGCAGCCGCGGUAAUUCCAGCUCCAAUAGCGUAUAUUAAAGUUGUUGCGGUUAAAAAGCUCGUAGUCGAACUUGUGUCCCGCGCCGCCGGUUCAUCGCUCGCGGUGUUUAACUGGCGUGUCCGCGGGACGUCCUGCCGGUGGACUUAGUCCUUUAGGGGGCGGUCCAACUUCAAAUCCCACCGCGGUGCUCUUUACCGAGUGUCGAGGUGGGCCGGCACGUUUACUUUGAACAAAUUAGAGUGCUUAAAGCAGGCUAAAACUUUGCCUGAAUACUGUGUGCAUGGAAUAAUGGAAUAGGACCUCGGUUCUAUUUUGUUGGUUUUCGGAACUCCGAGGUAAUGAUUAAUAGGAACGGAUGGGGGCAUUCGUAUUGCGACGUUAGAGGUGAAAUUCUUGGAUCGUCGCAAGACGGACAGAAGCGAAAGCAUUUGCCAAAAACGCUUUCAUUGAUCAAGAACGAAAGUUAGAGGUUCGAAGGCGAUCAGAUACCGCCCUAGUUCUAACCAUAAACGAUGCCAGCUAGCGAUCCGCCGACGUUCCUCCGAUGACUCGGCGGGCAGCUUCCGGGAAACCAAAGCUUUUGGGUUCCGGGG
This 1133-nucleotide ribosomal RNA is filed under the name Cyclocephala aff. pasadenae/hirta MV20140605. RNAcentral's name for it is "SSU rRNA". It matches the Rfam family "Eukaryotic small subunit ribosomal RNA", at positions 50 to 1119 of the family's 1831-position model. The record is from RNAcentral. Lineage: Eukaryota; Metazoa; Arthropoda; Insecta; Coleoptera; Scarabaeidae. RNAcentral also lists the same sequence under 1 other name.